Molecule: ribosomal RNA, 157 nt
Filed under: uncultured Pseudomonas sp.
Lineage: Bacteria; Pseudomonadati; Pseudomonadota; Gammaproteobacteria; Pseudomonadales; Pseudomonadaceae
Description: partial 16S ribosomal RNA
Rfam family: Bacterial small subunit ribosomal RNA
Source: RNAcentral
CGGGAGGCAGCAGUGAGGAAUAUUGGACAAUGGGCGAAAGCCUGAUCUACGGGAGGUUGCGGUUCUACAGGAAGGGCAGUAAGUUCAAUACCUUGCUGUUUUGACGUUACCGACAGAAUAAGCACCGGCUAACUUCGUGCCAGCAGCCGCGGUAAUA